Molecule: ribosomal RNA, 606 nt
Filed under: uncultured Verrucomicrobiota bacterium
Lineage: Bacteria; Pseudomonadati; Verrucomicrobiota
Description: bacterial SSU rRNA
Rfam family: Bacterial small subunit ribosomal RNA
Source: RNAcentral
UGGCGGCGUGUUAAGACAUGCAAGUCGAGCGCUGAUUACGGGGUAGCAAUAUCCGUAGUCGGAGCGGCGCAAGGGUGCGUAACACGUGGGUAAUCUGCCGUGAAGUCUGGGAUAACUUGCUGAAAGGCGAGCUAAUACCGGAUGUGAAAAUUGGAAGGCAUCUUUUGAUUUUCAAAGUUGGGGACCGUAAGGCCCGACGCUUCAUGAUGAACCCGCGGCCUAUCAGCUAGUUGGUGAGGUAACGGCUCACCAAGGCUAAGACGGGUAGCUGGUCUGAGAGGACGACCAGCCACACUGGAACUGAGACACGGUCCAGACACCUACGGGUGGCAGCAGUCGAGAAUUUUUCACAAUGGGGGAAACCCUGAUGGAGCGACGCCGCGUGGGGGAUGAAUGGCUUCGGCCCGUAAACCCCUGUCAUUCGCGAACAAUGUUCCGGCAUUAACACCGCCGGGAUUGAUAGUAGCGGAAGAGGAAGGGACGGCUAACUCUGUGCCAGCAGCCGCGGUAAUACAGAGGUCCCAAGCGUUGUUCGGAUUUACUGGGCGUAAAGGGUGCGUAGGCGGUCGGGUAAGUCUGAUGUGAAAUCUCAGAGCUCAACUCUGA